GUCUACAGCCAUACCACCCUGAACAUGCUUGAUCUCAUCUGAUCUCGGAAGCUAAGCAGGGUCGGGCCUGGUUAUUACUUGGAUGGGAGAUAAAAAGAGCAUUUACAGAAGUAGUAGCAG
Ribosomal RNA from Cavia porcellus (domestic guinea pig), 120 nucleotides. Lineage: Eukaryota; Metazoa; Chordata; Mammalia; Rodentia; Caviidae. The record is from Ensembl.